Astatotilapia calliptera (eastern happy) is the source of this 4623-nucleotide long non-coding RNA. NCBI's taxonomy places the organism in Eukaryota, Metazoa, Chordata, Actinopteri, Cichliformes, Cichlidae. The record is from Ensembl.
UAUUGUGUCACCAACAUUUUAACGUUAGACAUAUCAUUUUAACAGCCUCUGUAAACUAAUAUCCUGGCUGCUCGAGGCUCCGUUUUCUCUGACAGUUUCAAUCAAAAUUAGAAAUGCUGCUCUGAGACUGAGAGAACUAAUAGUGCCGCCUGUUGUGCAGUUAGUUUCCAAAACACGUUAUUCAUGGUUACAUACAAUUUUAGACUGAUGUGGGCCAAAGCCUAGCAUAGCCUGUAACGUUAUUAUGACACAUUUUAUGAGUGAACUUGGCUUUAAGUGACUUACAGGUUUCUUUGAAAAAUACUUUCUUAUAUCCAGGUUCUUCCUUUUUGCUGCCGUCCUCCUCUCCUCCUGGCAGCGCAGGUUUGCUGCAGAGCUCCCUGAAAGGCACAGCCAAUCACAUUGCCAUAUUUGUCACAUGACGUAGGACUCCAGUAGAGAACGUAAUUGAACUCUUUCUGCACCGCUGGGUGAAUGAGAUGUCGACAGAUCGUUUUUUUUUCUUUCUAUUGGGUUUGUUUUUCUUUACUCGAAGCGAUCAAAUUAUUGGUGGGGACAAUUCAAUAAUCGCUGAAUAUUGGUGGUCCAUGCCAAAUCUACGCCCUUGCAUGAUUUGAAUCCUGGGUUGAGCGAAAUCCAAGAAAUAAAGACAAAGCGAAUCUGUGAACUAAGGUGUAGGAAAGAAAAGUUCAAAGCCAUCAGGUGCUCAGUUUAGAAAAAAGAGAAAAGAAGAGGAGGAGAAACGAGCAACAGAUACAGAUGGAGUGUUCACCCAGGGCGCCAAACAGGCUAGGACCGCCACUGUGCAUGACUAUUGCCUUCGGCGUGAGCUACAUACGUGGCGAACUUGGUCACCAGCAUUCAUGCUUCAUUUUAACCUUUUACCAAUUUGCAAAGAUCACAGAGGGAAUCAUGACGUCACACGGCUGUUUUCUCUGCCUGUUGCUUUUUAGUGUAAUCCCGAUCGAGCCAUCAGAAGCAGGUUGUAUGGACCACUUCACAAAAAAAGGAUUGGCAAACGCAUCAAGUGAGCUGCCAGAGAAUAUUACCGUCAAAAUAAUGAACAAGUCUGAGGACAUCAUUGUAUGUAGUUUAACGGAAGCCAAAGACUGUGCUAACAGCAAAACAGAAAAUACCUGCUUUCUACGGGACUGUUUUAAGGACGAGAAUAACAUGGGCUAUAAACCGCCAUGUAACGAGGCGGAUGAGAACAUCAGUGUCCCUUUCUACCACUUCAUGUGCUUGACAAAUAUAGCCAAGGGUCUACGAGAUAAAACAAAACCACCUGAAGUCUGUGAAGUGUACAAAAAAGUCUGUGGGGAAGAUUCUGCCACCCCAGCACCACCAAAACCUUCACCGACAACACCAACCAUUGAAGCAACACCAUCAACAGCACCAGCCAUUGAAGCAACACCAUCAACAGCACCAGCCAUUGAAGCAACACCAUCAACAGCACCAACCAUUGAAGCAACACCAUCAACACCACUGCCAACAACACCAACCACUAAAGCAACACCACCAACAGGACCAGCCAUCGACGCAACAUCAUCAACAGCACCAACCACUAAAGCAACACCACCAACAGGACCAGCCAUCGACGCAACAUCAUCAACAGCACCAGCCAUCGAAGCAACACCAACCAUUGAAGUAACAACAAAAAACCCAAGCACAGCAUCAACAACAAAAACAACAGCACCAUCAACGACAUCGUCAACAACAAGUACAACAGCAGCAUCAUUCCUGGUGAAUUCACGUUCAGAAAAAGAAACGGGAAGUGACAUCCAAAAGAUUUUAAUAGGAGUUCUUAUCAUGACGAACAUCAUUGUCCCCAUGGCAAUUUAUCUGUACAUGCGUAACCAGAUUCAGCAGAUUCCAAACUUGAGGGAAGAAGUAAGAAUGACAGAGAUGCAGGUAUUUUUGUAGAAUGUGGAUGCUAACUCACUGUAACUGAAGCACAGAGGAUUAGGAUACAACUAAACUUGCAGUUAUUUGAUAGUCUUACUUAGAUAUUACAUUUCAUUAAUAAGAACAACAGAAGUGAUUUAUCUGUUUCUUAACAUUGGUAGAGAGUCAACUUUGUGUUAAACCCUGCUCUGCGUGUUUUUGCUUUAACAGUAUUAUUUUCUUCUCUUUUUAGCAAAACACAUUUCCCAGGGAUGUUGAAGAGGGUCCCAUUUUAUUAACGGUAAUUUUUACUGUACUACUACUUUCAUAAACGGUGCCUGUAAAAGACUUAAUGUUUCAAACACGUGGUUUCCUUGACUGAUGAGACCAGACAAGACCCGAAUGGAAACACAGCCUUGACUGAUUUGAUAUUUGUUCCCACUAAGUGUGCUUUUUUUUUUUUUUUUUUGUCAGCAGAGGUCCAGCUGUAACUACAAAAAUCUAUUUUUCCAACAACUGUAGACGCCCGAGAGUUCCAUCAUCAUAAAUUCACCUGAAAACACCAUAAUUUAAAGCCCUUGCCCAAAUAGAACACACCAUUAGAAGUUCUGAGCUGCUGAGAAUCUGGAUAAAUCUGGAUACGAGGAUCUGCCUUACACAGAUCUGGACUUACACAGUCCAGGUGAAGUAAAGGUGGUCUGUGAAGGCCUCUGCGCCCAAAGGUGGAUAAGCUUCCAAUGUGAAGAAGAGUGGGACCAAACAAGCCGCAGCAUGCCUGUUCAUGUAACUGCUCUGCAGUCGCACAUCAAGAUUGUUUUCUGUCCGCCUCAUGCAAAAUGUUUUACUGCUGUGCUGGUUUUAAGUGACCAAAGUCUUACCAGAAGAAGUGCACUGCAGAAAAUCUGUUUUAACACGAACAAUAACGAGUUGGUUUUUUGUCAUAUUUAGAAUAAUUUUAAACACAAAGACACAGAUUAUGCAUGUAGUCAGUAAACAUAUAUAUGUGUGUGUCUCUGUGUGUUCAAGUGUUCCACUGUGCAGACUACUAUAUUUAGUGCGACUGCAAAAGAAAAAAGUUACGUUUUUAUGGCUAAUGGACUAAUUGCCUCUGUUCAUGUGUGCAUAUUUGGGGAAAGGUUUGGUGGCUUUUUUUCUAUUCCUUGUAUGUAUUAAGUAUGUUGUGAUAAAGCUUCAGCUGAAAAGCUAAAAGUGCCUAAAAAAAAUUAAAUAUUAUUAUUUUUUUUAUUGCACAAUGCACAUUAAGCGAAGCCACCAUAAAAAAUUGAACUUUUACCUUUUUCUAAGCCAGCUGUGCUAGCUUUACCCCUAAAAUGUGAUCUUAUCUGUUAACAGUUGUUCUAGAUAAGUUCUCACUGUACAGUCCUCAUACAUCCAUCGAAUGUGUUUGUGUUUCAUGGAAGUAUAAAUAGAAAAUUACCUACCGCAAUGCUUUUAUUAUUUUCAUAAAUCACUGCAAAAACAAAGAGAUGUGAAAAAAGCGGUCUCUGCACGUUUUCAUUUUCAUACUGUCACGUUAUUUCACUCUUAUAUAUGGUAAAUGGUCUGUAUUUGUAUAGCGCUUUACUUGGUCCACUCUUGUGUAUGUGUAAUUAUCCCACAUAUCUGUCCCUCACAUAUGGAAGACUGUAGACAUUGUUCUGUGUUUUCAGUUUUUGGCUUUUGAUGCAUUUGUGGAAUAUAUUUUAGUUUUUGUUUAUGUAAAAAUUUUUAUUUUUAUAUAUUUUUUAAGCCAACCACUUUAUUUAUUGUGUUUGUAAUAGAGACUGAGUAGGAGUUUUUUUGUUUUGUUUUUGAAUGUGUAGAUGUGAGUUUAGACAAGCAUCUAUGAUUCCCAUACAUACUCCUUGGUGUGGAACAAAAAUGUCCAGACUGAAAAGAGAAAAAUGUAAGCAGAUAAUAGAACGGACCCGGUGAACAUAUCUGAGCACAGGAGCCAGACUUGUAAAGUGUAUAAAAAGCUAUAUUUAAAACCAAGUAAUAAAUAAGAAAUGAAUAAAAAAGAAAAAUCAAACAAAAACAUUUCUUUAAUUGAAACAGUCACAUUAAGGAUUCAUCUACACCAGGGGUCCCCAAACCCCGUCCACAAGGGCCGGUGUCCCUGCAGGUUUUAAUAAUAAUAAUAAUAAUAAUGGAUUGGAUUUAUAUAACGCUUUUCAAGGCACCCAAAGCGCUUUACAAUGCCACUAUUCAUUCAUUCGCGCAUUCACACACUGGUGGAGGCAGCUACGGUUGUAGCCACAGCUGCCCUGGGGCAGACUGACAGAAGCGAGGCUGCCAUAUCGCGCCAUCGGCCCCUCUGGCCAACACCAGUAGGUGGCAGGUGAAGGACACAACGACCAGGACAGAGAGCCCGGGGAUCGAACUGGCGACCUUCCGGUUACAGAUGUGCUUCCCAAACCCCUGAGUUUUAGAUCUCACCCUGGGUCAACACACCUGAAUCACGUGAUUAGUUCAUUACCAGGCCUCUGGAGAACUUCAGGACAUGUUGGCUGUAUCCCAAUUCAGGGUCUGCAGCCUUAAAGUACGCAGCCUUGACGGUCCACACGGGCCGCGUACUCAAAGACUGCUAAGGCUGGAAGUGCGAGGCUUCUGAAAUGGGACGGUCUAGCCUCCGUUGCGCUGCCCAGGUUGCCUAGCAACCAUGACACUAACUGCUGGAAACGUUUCAUACAGCUUUGUUUGACAGAAAUAAAGGAGAAAAUCUUUUGUUCAUUUGUU